RNAcentral lists this ribosomal RNA (498 nucleotides) under uncultured bacterium. Its description in RNAcentral is "partial 16S ribosomal RNA". It matches the Rfam family "Bacterial small subunit ribosomal RNA", at positions 27 to 507 of the family's 1533-position model. The record is from RNAcentral.
GGAUGAACGCUGGCGGCGUGCCUAAUACAUGCAAGUCGAGCGAACAGACGAGGAGCUUGCUCCUCUGACGUUAGCGGCGGCCGGGUGAGUAACACGUGGAUAACCUACCUAUAAGACUGGGAUAACUUCGGGAAACCGGAGCUAAUACCGGAUAAUAUAUUGAACCGCAUGGUUCAAUAGUGAAAGACGGUUUUGCUGUCACUUAUAGAUGGAUCCGCGCCGCAUUAGCUAGUUGGUAAGGUAACGGCUUACCAAGGCAACGAUGCGUAGCCGACCUGAGAGGGUGAUCGGCCACACUGGAACUGAGACACGGUCCAGACUCCUACGGGAGGCAGCAGUAGGGAAUCUUCCGCAAUGGGCGAAAGCUUGACGGAGCAACGCCGCGUGAGUGAUGAAGGUCUUCGGAUCGUAAAACUCUGUUAUUAGGGAAGAACAAAUGUGUAAGUAACUAUGCACGUCUUGACGGUACCUAAUCAGAAAGCCACGGCUAACUACGUG